Molecule: unclassified non-coding RNA, 107 nt
Organism: Microcebus murinus (gray mouse lemur)
Lineage: Eukaryota; Metazoa; Chordata; Mammalia; Primates; Cheirogaleidae
Rfam family: Y RNA
About the family: Y RNAs are components of the Ro ribonucleoprotein particle (Ro RNP), in association with Ro60 and La proteins.
Source: Ensembl
GGCUGGACUGAAGGUCCCGAGUUCCUUCAAUUGAUUGUUCAGUUACAAAUGGAACUCCUUUUUCUACUGUUUCUCCCUUUCUCACUACUGCACUGGACUAGUCUUUU